This 447-nucleotide ribosomal RNA is filed under the name uncultured bacterium. Its description in RNAcentral is "bacterial SSU rRNA". It matches the Rfam family "Bacterial small subunit ribosomal RNA", at positions 355 to 825 of the family's 1533-position model. The record is from RNAcentral.
UGGGGAAUAUUGGACAAUGGGCGAAAGCCUGAUCCAGCCAUGCCGCGUGAGUGACGAAGGUCUUCGGAUUGUAAAGCUCUUUUGGCGGGGACGAUAAUGACGGUACCCGCAGAAUAAGCCCCGGCUAACUUCGUGCCAGCAGCCGCGGUAAUACGAAGGGGGCUAGCGUUGUUCGGAAUUACUGGGCGUAAAGCGCACGUAGGCGGAUUUGUAAGUCAGGGGUGAAAUCCCGGGGCUCAACCUCGGAACUGCCCUUGAUACUGCAAAUCUCGAGUCCGAUAGAGGUGAGUGGAAUUCCUAGUGUAGAGGUGAAAUUCGUAGAUAUUAGGAAGAACACCAGUGGCGAAGGCGGCUCACUGGAUCGGUACUGACGCUGAGGUGCGAAAGCGUGGGGAGCAAACAGGAUUAGAUACCCCCGUAGUCCCUGAGCGGGCUGGCAAGGCGCAU